RNAcentral lists this ribosomal RNA (253 nucleotides) under uncultured bacterium. Its description in RNAcentral is "partial 16S ribosomal RNA". It matches the Rfam family "Bacterial small subunit ribosomal RNA", at positions 524 to 776 of the family's 1533-position model. The record is from RNAcentral.
GACGUAGGAGGCGAGCGUUGUCCGGAUUCAUUGGGCGUAAAGAGCGCGCAGGCGGCUUGGUAAGUCGGAUGUGAAAUCCCGAGGCUCAACCUCGGGUCUGCAUCCGAUACUGCCCGGCUAGAGGUAGGUAGGGGAGAUCGGAAUUCCUGGUGUAGCGGUGAAAUGCGCAGAUAUCAGGAGGAACACCGGUGGCGAAGGCGGCUAUCUGGACGAUGACUGACGCUGAGACGCGAAAGCGUGGGGAGCAAACAGG